RNAcentral lists this ribosomal RNA (497 nucleotides) under uncultured bacterium. RNAcentral describes it as "partial 16S ribosomal RNA". It matches the Rfam family "Bacterial small subunit ribosomal RNA", at positions 28 to 507 of the family's 1533-position model. The record is from RNAcentral.
GAUGAACGCUGGCGGCGUGCCUAAUACAUGCAAGUCGAGCGAACGGACGAGAAGCUUGCUUCUCUGAUGUUAGCGGCGGACGGGUGAGGAACACGUGGAUAACCUACCUAUAAGACUGGGAUAACUUCGGGAAACCGGAGCUAAUACCGGAUAAUAUUUUGAACCGCAUGGUUCAAAAGUGAAAGCCGGUCUUGCUGUCACUUAUAGAUGGAUCCGCGCUGCAUUAGCUAGUUGGUAAGGUAACGGCUUACCAAGGCAACGAUGCAUAGCCGGCCUGAGAGGGUGAUCGGCCACACUGGAACUGAGACACGGUCCAGACUCCUACGGGAGGCAGCAGUAGGGAAUCUUCCGCAAUGGGCGAAAGCCUGACGGAGCAACGCCGCGUGAGUGAUGAAGGUCUUCGGAUCGUAAACCUCUGUUAUUAGGGAAGAACAUAUGUGUAAGUAACUGUGCACAUCUUGACGGUACCUAAUCAGAAAGCCACGGCUAACUACGUG